UUUGAUUGAUGAUGGUGCACUACCCGUGCUAGUACAAUAUGCUAACAAUGAAGCCUCGCCACUCAGGCGGCAUAUUGAGCUUGCACUCUGCCACUUAGCACAACAUGAAGCAAAUGCUAAAGAUAUGAUUGGUGGAGGUGCCCUGUGGGAGCUAGUUCGAAUCUCACGUGACUGUUCACGUGAAGAUAUAAGGAGUCUCGCACACCGGACACUAACUUCCAACUCCACUUUCAUUGCUGAAUUAAGACAGUUGCGGAUAGAUUAUUAAAUCAAUUAUUUGAACUGUUGAAGAGGGAGGGACAGUACGGGAGAUGGGUGAGAUCAUCUUAUCACUAAAUCCAACUGGAAAGAUUGAUCAUUCUUCAAAAAAAAAAAAAAAACAAGCAGGAGUGCUUUGAUUAGUGUUCCUGUAGCAGUUUUGUCAUAUAAGGUGGGUUUUAGUCUCUGUACGUAAUUUUGAUCAUACACAGAAUCUCUGAUUUGUCAAUCAUAUUGUUGUCUUGCAGUCUCUAAGAAUAUAUACUCAUUAUUGACAGCACCAUUGUGUAGCUCCUAAUCAAUGUAUAAAUUGAUUUGUGUAUAUGAAUGGAAUAGUGGGGGAAAGAGUAUGAUCUAGUUAUAUUUCUUGUAAAGAAACACACUUGCUUUUAGCAUUGUAAUGUAAGCAGUAAUUUGUAUCAAA
Non-coding RNA from Carica papaya (papaya), 682 nucleotides. Lineage: Eukaryota; Viridiplantae; Streptophyta; Magnoliopsida; Brassicales; Caricaceae. The record is from RefSeq and is a predicted model, not a curated record.